Henosepilachna vigintioctopunctata is the source of this 73-nucleotide non-coding RNA. NCBI's taxonomy places the organism in Eukaryota, Metazoa, Arthropoda, Insecta, Coleoptera, Coccinellidae. The record is from the annotation of a GenBank genome assembly.
GUCUUCGUGGCUUAGUCGGGAGAAUACUCGACAGUGGUGCAGUAGAACUUGGGUUCGAGCCCCGUUGAAGGCA